GUACGUUUUCACCCUCGGGUGACAGGGAGACAGGUGGUGCAUGGUUGUCGUCAGCUCGUGUCGUGAGAUGUUGGGUUAAGUCCCGCAACGAGCGCAACCCUACGUUUAGUUGCUAACAGGUGAAGCUGAGCACUCUAGACGAACUGCCGUUGACAAAACGGAGGAAGGUGGGGAUGACGUCAAAUCAUCAUGCCCCUUAUGUUCUGGGCUACACACGUGCUACAAUGGCCGGUACAGACGGAGGCGAAGCCGCGAGGCGGAGCAAAUCCGAAAAAGCCGGUCUCAGUUCGGAUUGCAGGCUGCAAUUCGCCUGCAUGAAGUCGGAAUCGCUAGUAAUCGCAGGUCAGCAUACUGCGGUGAAUACGUUCCCGGGCCUU
RNAcentral lists this ribosomal RNA (377 nucleotides) under uncultured Pelotomaculum sp. RNAcentral's name for it is "bacterial SSU rRNA". It matches the Rfam family "Bacterial small subunit ribosomal RNA", at positions 1006 to 1382 of the family's 1533-position model. Lineage: Bacteria; Bacillati; Bacillota; Clostridia; Eubacteriales; Desulfotomaculaceae. The record is from RNAcentral.